This 254-nucleotide ribosomal RNA is filed under the name uncultured bacterium. RNAcentral describes it as "partial 16S ribosomal RNA". It matches the Rfam family "Bacterial small subunit ribosomal RNA", at positions 524 to 776 of the family's 1533-position model. The record is from RNAcentral.
GACGUAGGGCGCGAGCGUUGUCCGGAUUUAUUGGGCGUAAAGAGCUCGUAGGCGGUGUGUCGCGUCGGCCGUGAAAACCUGCAGCUUAACUGUGGGCGUGCGGUCGAUACGGGCAUCACUGGAGUUCGGCAGGGGAGACUGGAAUUCCUGGUGUAGCGGUGAAAUGCGCAGAUAUCAGGAGGAACACCGGUGGCGAAGGCGGGUCUCUGGGCCGAUACUGACGCUGAGGCGCGAAAGCGUGGGGAGCAAACAGG